GACUGGACAUAUCAGCUACAAUUUUGGAAGCAAGAGGCAGAACAUUACACAGGUUCCAUACAGAUCUGGCCCAGAAGCAGAACUUCAGCUCCAGAAAAGAGAUAAGAUUUUGAAAGGGAAAUUAUUGCAAAUCAAGUCAAUAACUCCUCCCAGACAGACAAUAUUUUCAUAGAGCUGCAAUUCCACAAUAUUUGGUUCGAGAAACAAAACAGCAUCACUACUACAGGGACAGAUUCAUAUUUCCAAGCCAAAAUGUGCUCCAUAUGUGAUGGCAUGUGCAGCUGGUGCAGAGCUCCAGAGCUACAGCUUGCUGACCCUAGCUAGUUAGCUGCCCCAUAGCCAAAUAACCCACCCACCAGAAAGGCAUCUGGUCAGAAGUGGUCUCCCAGGGAAGUCUUCACUUGCUGUUGAGUGGACUUCAUCUUUGCUGUCCAGACAGAAUGAUGUGGACAGGCAUCUUCCACAGAAAGAAUUGCCAAGCAGAUGUCCUUCCUCAAACCACCUUUUACAAACAGCCUUGCAGAGUAAGUUCUUCCAGCUGAAGGCCUGGCAUCUACCAGGGUAGCAAAGGGAAGAAAACAAUGAGUCGUCAUGUGGGAAGGCUGGAGACAAAUGAAUUUAAAGAUGUUUUAAUAUCAUGCUCUUAAAUUCUGAACCAAGUGUCUGUCGUGGGCCAGCACUGGAGACUGGAUGUUGGCCCCAAGCCAGUUGGAGAACUGACCCAAUUUAAAGUAGCCAAACUUACACUAUGCUCUUUGUUUUAGAUAAGGAUAUAUUAUUAUACAGUACUUAAUCUAUACUUAAUUUAUUUUAGCCUGCGGGAAAAUGUGCGUAAUGGCCACCCAUAUUUAAAUAAAGAUAGAACUUUUCCAGCUUUCA
RNAcentral lists this long non-coding RNA (879 nucleotides) under Anas platyrhynchos platyrhynchos (common mallard). RNAcentral describes it as "lncRNA (ENSAPLG00000027004.1)". The record is from RNAcentral. Lineage: Eukaryota; Metazoa; Chordata; Aves; Anseriformes; Anatidae.